Molecule: ribosomal RNA, 512 nt
Filed under: Limosilactobacillus reuteri
Lineage: Bacteria; Bacillati; Bacillota; Bacilli; Lactobacillales; Lactobacillaceae
Description: bacterial SSU rRNA
Rfam family: Bacterial small subunit ribosomal RNA
Source: RNAcentral
GAUGAACGCCGGCGGUGUGCCUAAUACAUGCAAGUCGUACGCACUGGCCCAACUGAUUGAUGGUGCUUGCACCUGAUUGACGAUGGAUCACCAGUGAGUGGCGGACGGGUGAGUAACACGUAGGUAACCUGCCCCGGAGCGGGGGAUAACAUUUGGAAACAGAUGCUAAUACCGCAUAACAACAAAAGCCACAUGGCUUUUGUUUGAAAGAUGGCUUUGGCUAUCACUCUGGGAUGGACCUGCGGUGCAUUAGCUAGUUGGUAAGGUAACGGCUUACCAAGGCGAUGAUGCAUAGCCGAGUUGAGAGACUGAUCGGCCACAAUGGAACUGAGACACGGUCCAUACUCCUACGGGAGGCAGCAGUAGGGAAUCUUCCACAAUGGGCGCAAGCCUGAUGGAGCAACACCGCGUGAGUGAAGAAGGGUUUCGGCUCGUAAAGCUCUGUUGUUGGAGAAGAACGUGCGUGAGAGUAACUGUUCACGCAGUGACGGUUCCAACCAGAAUGACCGUCC